CAAGCGGCAGUGGGUUCGCCGCUGCUGUAGUUCCCCGGCUGGCUGCGGUCACUGGUGCCAGUGCUCAGGCGCCUGCUGCCCUUGACCUCCCGCCCCGCGAGCCCUAACUCAGCUCAGGAGGACCGGCUGCCGCCGCCGCCGCCGCCAGAGCCUUGGCUGUCCAGUUGCCAGUCCUACCACGGUCGGAGGUAACCUUCCUGGCUCCAGUCACACGGCCAGAUAAGGUGGUGUGUGUGGGCAUGAAUUAUGUGGACCACUGCAAAGAACAGAACGUGCCCGUGCCCAAGGAGCCCAUCAUCUUCAGCAAGUUUGCCAGCUCCAUCGUGGGGCCCUAUGAUGAGGUGGUCCUCCCACCACAGAGCCAGGUGACCUCAAUUUGGCCAAUGAGGGACCUUCAGGUUUGUUCCAUCCCCAAGCUUUUAGCAUAUAUUUGCUUUCUGGCCAAGACGUUCCAGGCUUAUCAUGUACUGUCUGUCUUGGACCAAGGAACCCGGUGCUCUUUAGUGGGGAGUGGUAUUACAGACCAACAUCUGGAUGUCGGGUGUACUUACACCAACUCUGGUUAUUAUUAGAAAGAGCCACCAAUUUUAAAGGCCAAAUUAUAUCUAUUUUAUAGUGUAUUUUAUGGAUUAUGGGAGAGGCUGAGCAUUUUUUCAUGUUUUGUGGCCAUGUCCAUUACCUUUUUGUGAAUUGCUCACUCAAGUCCUUUGUGGGAUGUCAAUCUUUCUCUUACUAAAGUGAGUUAACAGAUUAAAACACUUAGAAUAGUGCCUCA
RNAcentral lists this small RNA (775 nucleotides) under Pongo abelii (Sumatran orangutan). Its description in RNAcentral is "processed transcript". The record is from RNAcentral. Lineage: Eukaryota; Metazoa; Chordata; Mammalia; Primates; Hominidae.